This 247-nucleotide ribosomal RNA is filed under the name uncultured bacterium. Its description in RNAcentral is "partial 16S ribosomal RNA". It matches the Rfam family "Bacterial small subunit ribosomal RNA", at positions 530 to 776 of the family's 1533-position model. The record is from RNAcentral.
GGUCUCAAGCGUGGUUCGGAUUCAUUGGGCGUAAAGGGUGCGUAGGCGGCGCGGUAAGUCGGGUGUGAAAUCUCGGAGCUUAACUCCGAAACUGCAUUCGAUACUGCCGUGCUUGAGGACUGGAGAGGAGACUGGAAUUUACGGUGUAGCGGUGAAAUGCGUAGAUAUCGUAAGGAAGACCAGUGGCGAAGGCGGGUCUCUGGACAGUUCCUGACGCUGAGGCACGAAGGUCAGGGGAGCAAACGGG